CCUACGGGAGGCAGCAGUGGGGAAUAUUCCACAAUGGGCGCAAGCCUGAUGCGCGACGCCGCGUGUGGGAUGACAGCCUUCGGGUUGUAAACCUCGUUCAGUAGGGAAGAACGAAAGUGACGGUACCUGCAGAAGAAGCGCCGGCUAACUACGUGCCAGCAGCCGCGGUAAUACGUAGGGCGCAAGCGUUAUCCGGAAUUAUUGGGCGUAAAGAGCUCGUAGGCGGUUUGUCGCGUCUGCCGUGAAAGACCGGGGCUCAACUCCGGAUCUGCGGUGGGUACGGGCAGAAUAGAGUGAUGUAGGGGAGACUGGAAUAUCCUGGUGUAGCGGUGAAAUGCGCAGAUAUCAGGAGGAACACCGGUGGCGAAGGCAGGUCUCUGGGCAUUAACUGACGCUGAGGAGCGUAAGCAUGGGGACGAACAGGAUUAGAUACCCUGGUAGUCCAUGCCGUNAACGUUGGGCACUAGGUGUGGGGGACAUUCCACGUUUNCCGCGCCGUAGCUAACGCAUUAAGUGNCCCGCCUGGGGAGUACGGCCCCAAGGCUUAAACUCAAAGGAAUUGNCGGGGU
RNAcentral lists this ribosomal RNA (569 nucleotides) under uncultured bacterium. Its description in RNAcentral is "bacterial SSU rRNA". It matches the Rfam family "Bacterial small subunit ribosomal RNA", at positions 338 to 919 of the family's 1533-position model. The record is from RNAcentral.